RNAcentral lists this unclassified non-coding RNA (256 nucleotides) under Hevea brasiliensis (rubber tree). Lineage: Eukaryota; Viridiplantae; Streptophyta; Magnoliopsida; Malpighiales; Euphorbiaceae. The record is from RNAcentral.
GUUUUUUUUUUUUUUUUUGGAGGUUAAAAUGCAUUGAAGAGAUUCCUUUAUGUUUUUACUAUUUCUGUAGUUUCUUGCGUUAAAACAUGCCUUAUUUUGUUUUAGCAUGUCCUGCUGAGUUUCAAGCUAUAGGAUGGGUUUGGCUUUUGCCAAAGUAUAAUUGGAUGAACGCACUAUUAUUAUGGAGGGUAAAUUGUUCCUAAAUUUAGGAUGUUAUUUUAUUUUUAAAUCUAAAUUUUAAUUUGUUGCAAUAAAA